AGGUACGUCAAGCAUCAUCGCCUCCUUGAUCACCCUGUAAUUAACAAAAUAAUAAAACAAGUUACAAAUAUAUACUAACUAUGUUAAUAUUGGUAUAUUACGACAAUAUAUACAACAAAUUGAUUUUAUACCUCGUCGCCAUCCCCGUGUUGUGAUGCUGCUGCUGCCGCUACUGCUUCAGCUAACUCCUCAGCACUCAGAGCCCCCAGAUGCCCGCCCAGUAUCUUCAGAAGAUCGCGAUCUCGACAUAUAGCUCUCACACAGUCAGCCGGAGUAUGAACAGCUGGAUGGCUCGAUGACUGUGUAGACUGGGUAGAAGAGCAGCCUGAGCCACUGAAGGAUGGGCGUCGUCGUUGUCCUUGACCUUUAAUGUAGUUCUUCUUCACAACAGACGCCCUCUCCCACAACUCUUGAUCAAUAGGCGGACGUGGAGUGCCUUCAGGAUAGCGCUCAUUCAAUAAACGCUUAUAAGUGUCCUGUCAUCAUGUUAACAAUUAAAUAGUUAAAAAUAAAUUAAUUCUGUAAGCAUUGAUAAACAAGAUCAAGUUGUUAAAAUUUAUUACCGCUAUCUGGAUAGCCUCAGGCAGACCAUCACG
This 596-nucleotide long non-coding RNA is filed under the name Panax ginseng (ginseng). RNAcentral's name for it is "long non-coding RNA (PGIN_LNC007420)". Lineage: Eukaryota; Viridiplantae; Streptophyta; Magnoliopsida; Apiales; Araliaceae. The record is from RNAcentral.